Molecule: transfer RNA, 74 nt
Filed under: Candidatus Tremblaya phenacola PAVE
Lineage: Bacteria; Pseudomonadati; Pseudomonadota; Betaproteobacteria
Description: tRNA-Gln (TTG) (tRNA-Gln-TTG-1-1)
Rfam family: tRNA
About the family: Transfer RNA (tRNA) molecules are approximately 80 nucleotides in length.
Source: RNAcentral
AGGGGAAUAGCUAAGUUGGAUAAGGCACCGGACUUUGAUUCCGGUAUUCGAAGGUUCGAGUCCUUCUUCCCCUG